Long non-coding RNA from Oncorhynchus tshawytscha (Chinook salmon), 826 nucleotides. Lineage: Eukaryota; Metazoa; Chordata; Actinopteri; Salmoniformes; Salmonidae. The record is from Ensembl.
CUGUGGUAGGGCUGUGGUACGGCUGUGGUAGGGCUGUGGUAGGGCUCUGGUAAGGCUGUGGUAGGGCUGUGGUAGGGUUGUGGUACGGCUGUGGUAGGGCUGUGGUAAGGCUGUGGUAGGGCUGUGGUAGGGCUGUGGUAGGGCUGUGGUAAGGCUGUGGUAAGACUGUGGUAAGGCUGUGGUAGGGCUGUGGUAGGGCUGUGGUAGGGCUGUGGUAGGGCCGUGGUAGGGCUGUGGUAGGGCUGUGGCAAGGUAGGGCUGUGGUAGGGCUGUGGUAAGGCUGUGGUACGGCUGGGGUAGGGCUGUGGUAGGGCUGUGGUAAGGCUGUGGUAAGGCUGUGGUAUGGCUGUGGUACGGAUGUGGUAGGGCUGUGGUAGGGCUGUGGUAAGGUACGGCUGUGGUAAGGCGGUGGUAAGACUGUGGUAGGGCUGUGGCAAGGUAGGGCUGUGGUAGGGCUGUGGUAAGGUAUGGCUGUGGUAGGGCUGUGGUAAGACUGUGGUAGGGCUGUGGUAGGGCUGUGGUAAGGUAUGGCUGUGGUAGGGCUGUGGUAAGACUGUGGUAGGGCUGUGGUAGGGCUGUGGUAAGGUAUGGCUGUGGUAGGGCUGUGGUAAGGCUGUGGUAAGGCUGUGGUAGGGCUGUGUUAGGGCUGUGGUAAGGUACGGCUGUGGUAAGGCGGUGGUAAGACUGUGGUAGGGCUGUGGCAAGGUGGGGCUGUGGUAAGUUAUGGCUGUGGUAGCGCUGUGGUAAGACUGUGGUAGGGCUGUGGUAAGGCUGUGGUAGGGCUGUGGUAAGGCUGUGGUAAGUCUGUGGUAGGGCUGUGGUAAGG